RNAcentral lists this ribosomal RNA (253 nucleotides) under uncultured bacterium. RNAcentral describes it as "partial 16S ribosomal RNA". It matches the Rfam family "Bacterial small subunit ribosomal RNA", at positions 524 to 776 of the family's 1533-position model. The record is from RNAcentral.
GACAGAGGGGGCAAGCGUUGCUCGGAAUUACUGGGCGUAAAGGGCGCGUAGGCGGGAUGGCAAGUCGGGUGUGAAAGCCCUCGGCUCAACCGAGGAAGUGCGCCCGAAACUGUGGUGCUGGAGUGUGGGAGAGGUGCGUGGAAUUCCCGGUGUAGCGGUGAAAUGCGUAGAUAUCGGGAGGAACGCCUGUGGCGAAAGCGGCGCACUGGACCAUAACUGACGCUGAUGCGCGAAAGCUAGGGGAGCAAACAGG